UUUCCGGCGGCCUCCUGAGAAAUGUUUGCAAUUGUAAGGUGUCUCUCUCACCCAGGUUUACCCAGAUUUACAAACUGACGACAAACAACCAUAGCAGAAGUAUGUCCAGAUUAUUUCACAUAUAUCACAAAAUCCUGCAAAGGGUCUGUCCCUAUUUGGACCACCUCCCAUCACGCCACACAGGAUGUGAAUGUCUAUGUGCUUCUCCAUACCUGCAUUGAUCUCUGGGUCCAUUGCCAAUUAUAAACCUCCAAGGGCAAUAGCCAUGAGGUGAUGUACUGUCAUGCAUCACUUAAUAACCAGGAUACAUUCUGAGAAAUUCGUCGUUAGGCAAUUUUGUCAUUGCACGAACCUCACAGAGUGUACUUACACUAACCUAGAUAGUAGCAUCCAGUAAACACCUGGGCUAUAUGGUCCAGCCUAUUGCUCCUAGGCUACAAACCUGUAUAGCAUGUUACUGUACUGAAUAUGUAGGCACUUGUAACACAAUGGUGUUUCUGUAUCUAAACAUAUCUAAACAUAGGAGAGGUAAUGCAUUGUGCUACGGCAUUACAAGGGCUAUGACAGACACUAGGCAAG
RNAcentral lists this small RNA (579 nucleotides) under Pongo abelii (Sumatran orangutan). RNAcentral describes it as "retained intron". The record is from RNAcentral. Lineage: Eukaryota; Metazoa; Chordata; Mammalia; Primates; Hominidae.